Molecule: ribosomal RNA, 302 nt
Filed under: uncultured euryarchaeote
Lineage: Archaea; Methanobacteriati; Methanobacteriota
Description: bacterial SSU rRNA
Rfam family: Archaeal small subunit ribosomal RNA
Source: RNAcentral
GACUUUGUGGAUCCGGGAGUAGGUUGUGGGGUACUCUCAGGGUAGGGGUAAAAUCCUUGUCAUCCUGAGAGGACCACCUGUUGCGAAGGCGCCACACUAGAACGGAUCCGACGGUCAGGGACGAAACCUAGGGGCACGAACCGGAUUAGAUACCCGGGUAGUCCUAGGUGUAAACGCUGUGGACUGAUGUUGGGGGCGCUCCGAGCGCUCUCAGUGUCGAAGCGAAGGUGAUAAGUCCACUGCCUGGGGAGUACGUCGCAGGCUGACUCAAAGGAAUGACGGAUCACUAGUCGCCGCCUGCA